AUCGUAACAAGGUUUCCGUAGGUGAACCUGCGGAAGGAUCAUUAACGCGCAGGCCGGAGGCUGGCCCCCCACGAUAGGAAUCAACGUUCCAUCAGGGGUGUGCAGAUGUGCGCCGGUCUUACGCCCCAUUCUUGUCUACCUUACUCGGUUGCCUCGGCGGGCCGCGCUCUCCUGGGAGAGUCGUCCGGCGAGCCUCUUUGGGGGCUUUAGCUGGAUCGCGCCCGCCGGAGGACAGACAUCAAAAAAUCUUGGAAAGCUGUCAGUCUGAGCGUUAGCAAGUAAAAUUAGUUAAAACUUUCAACAACGGAUCUCUUGGUUCCGGCAUCGAUGAAGAACGCAGCGAAAUGCGAUAAGUAAUGUGAAUUGCAGAAUUCCGUGAAUCAUCGAAUCUUUGAACGCACAUUGCGCCCUCUGGUAUUCCGGGGGGCAUGCCUGUUCGAGCGUCAUUUCAACCCCUCAAGCCCGGCUUGUGUGAUGGACGACCGUCCGACCUCCUCUUUCGGGGGCGGGACGCGCCCGAAAAGCAGUGGCCAGGCCGCGAUCCCGGCUUCCUGGGCGAAUGGGCAGUCAAACCAGCGCCCUCAGGACCGGCCGCUCUGGCCUUCCCCCAAAUCUCUCUGAGAUAUUUUUUCAGGUUGACCUCGGAUCAGGUAGGGAUACCCGCUGAACCUAAGCAUAUC
RNAcentral lists this unclassified non-coding RNA (680 nucleotides) under Trichophyton concentricum. RNAcentral's name for it is "sequence contains 18S rRNA gene, ITS1, 5.8S rRNA gene, ITS2, 28S rRNA gene". The stretch from base 293 to 446 matches the Rfam family "5.8S ribosomal RNA". The record is from RNAcentral. Lineage: Eukaryota; Fungi; Ascomycota; Eurotiomycetes; Onygenales; Arthrodermataceae.